Molecule: long non-coding RNA, 1144 nt
Filed under: Meleagris gallopavo (turkey)
Lineage: Eukaryota; Metazoa; Chordata; Aves; Galliformes; Phasianidae
Description: lncRNA (ENSMGAG00000022535.1)
Source: RNAcentral
CUUAGAUCUAAGGAUAACCCUGCUGCUUGAGGAAAAUAAUCCUGCUCCCACAGGAUAAUGCACUCAUGGGAAACUGCCACGUGGGUGAAACACUUCAUGAAGAGUUGGUUGUGCAGAUGGAGGUACAGAAACGCUCUGUGUUGGCAGUGAAGUGAUCACAUCUGUUAAGGAAGUUUUGAGCUCUAGGAGCUGCUGUGCAUGGGAGGAUUGAAAUGCACGUGUUGCUUGACAAAAUGUGUAAUUAAAGGUCAGGAUGUUUUGAGAACGAAUUAACUCAAGUCCUAGGAUUGAUGAUAAAAGUCCUGAUGAUAAAAGGAGCCAUUUCUUUAAUGUCACUGAAGGCAAGUAUGGAUUCACAUUUCUGAAAUCCUUUUGCACUUUUUUUUUGGAAAUGGUGUUGGCUGAUUUUUUUUUUUUUCAAGAGCAGUAAAAUGAUGUUCUUUCAGGGUUUAAUGUGGCCAUAGCUACAGAUUAACACACUGGGAAUAUCUUCAUUCUGUCAUCUCUCUGCUUCUCUAUGGGGAAAGCAGCUGACGUGGUUAUUAAAUCUGGCAGCUGCGUUGUGUGCAUGUGGGAAGUGAGCAGAGUACAGCAUACAGAAAACCAGUAGCUUCCUUUCACUGCUACGAGGCUUGAAAGGCAGACUAAAAAUCUUUCUCCUUUUGUAAUCACCAGUUGGUGGAACAGUGCACAAAUACUCCAAAUACAGUGGCAAAUAACUGUACUUCAGAGGAGCUAUGAUCUACAAAUUGUAUCACCUACAGUCUGUACACUGAGGAAUAAGAUUUUUAUCUCCAAACUCUCUUGUCAUACUUCCAGCUGUGGCUAUAAUAUUAGUGUUAUUGCCUCAGCUUAGCGCACACUGUGCAGUGUUGACUGGAGACAGAUUCAAGUGCUGAUGCACAGUGAAGUCAAUUUUAAUUAAGCAUUGCAGUGAUGAUUCCUCUCUACACGGAAUAUGUUUGAACUUGCAGUUGUGGGUGUCUUUUCUCCUCUGUGGAAUACUCGAAAUACUGAAAUCAUUUACUAGAAGUAUGUGUUAAUAUGUAAGAGUACAAGAUUGUCUGUAUGAAGUUCCAAAGUUCAGCUAGCCCAGUAUCCUAUGUCUAGCAGCAGCCAACAGCAAAUGUUUAGGAAACAUCAA